This 396-nucleotide ribosomal RNA is filed under the name uncultured bacterium. Its description in RNAcentral is "bacterial SSU rRNA". It matches the Rfam family "Bacterial small subunit ribosomal RNA", at positions 30 to 429 of the family's 1533-position model. The record is from RNAcentral.
AUUGAACGCUGGCGGCAUGCCUUACACAUGCAAGUCGAACGGCAGCGGGGACUUCGGUCCGCCGGCGAGUGGCGAACGGGUGAGUAACGUAUCGGAACGUACCUUUCAGUGGGGGAUAACGUAGCGAAAGUUACGCUAAUACCGCAUAUUCUGUGAGCAGGAAAGCAGGGGACCGCAAGGCCUUGCGCUCUUUGAGCGGCCGAUGUCAGAUUAGCUAGUUGGUGAGGUAAAGGCUUACCAAGGCGACGAUCUGUAGCGGGUCUGAGAGGAUGAUCCGCCACACUGGAACUGAGACACGGUCCAGACUCCUACGGGAGGCAGCAGUGGGGAAUUUUGGACAAUGGGCGCAAGCCUGAUCCAGCCAUGCCGCGUGAGUGAAGAAGGCCUCGGUGUAAG